RNAcentral lists this long non-coding RNA (5451 nucleotides) under Equus caballus (horse). RNAcentral describes it as "lncRNA (ENSECAG00000044083.1)". Lineage: Eukaryota; Metazoa; Chordata; Mammalia; Perissodactyla; Equidae. The record is from RNAcentral.
CUUAUACAUAUCAACUAGCUCAGUAAUUGAUUAUGUACAAGCUUAUUUUAGAGGACAGGCUGUUGUGCUGAUAAUAAGUGUUAAAUCUAUUAAUUCAGUGUGAUAUCAUCCAACCAUGUUGUGUAGGCACAGAUAAUGAAGGCAAUUUAGGUAAUGGAAGUUACAUAAUUUAUUGCAGGGCUAGUUUUGCCGUCUUCACACCCAUUUUGACCAUUUAGCAAUCAGAAAAAAUAGUUGCAAACAUUGUUUGUGACUAGAAGGACUGUUAAUAUCCUACCAGGACUAUCAAAGUCUAUUCUUUUUCAUUUUGGCCACUGUGGAGGAGAAGUGAUUGGGGGGAAAAUACAUCUAAAAAGGCUCCUAAGAGGAGGAGGUAAUAAUGAAAAAAGGAUUGAGAAACACUGGUUUAGAAAUAUGAUCCAUCUCAAAUUUAUUUUUGUGUAUAGUGUAAGGUAGGCUUUCAGUCUCUCUUUUUUUUUAAUUUGCAUAUGUUUAUCCAGUUCGAUAAUACCAUUUGUUGAAAAGACCUUUUUCCCCAUUGAAUUGUUUUAGCACAAUUGUCAAAAUGAUUAACUAUAUAUAUGUGGGUCUUUCUCUGGAUUCUAUUCUGUUCCUUUGGCUUCUUUGUCUAUUACUAUGCCAAUACCACGCUGUCUUGAUUACUCUAGUUCUCCAGUAAGUCUUAAAUCAAAUAGUAUAAGCUCUAGCUCUUUUCUUCUUUUUUGAGACUGGUUUGUCUAUUUUUGGUGCUUGGCAUUUCCAUAUUAAUUUUAGAACCAGCUUGUCAUUGUCUACAAAAUGUACCACUGAGGUUUUUAUUGGGGUUGUGUUCAAUCUAUAGAUCAAUCUGAGGAAAUCAACAAACUUGAGUAUUCCAAUCCAUCAACAUGAUGUGCCUCUCCAUUUAUAUGCUUGUAUUUUUUAUAAAUAGGUUUAUGUAUUUUAUGCUAUUGCAAAUGGUAAUUUUUAUUUCAUUUCUCAAUGGUUUCUUGCUAGCUAUAGAAAUACAAUUGAUUUUCUUUUAUAAUUUGAUAAGUCAUGCAAUUAUCUUUCUAGCUGCAAAUAUUGAAUUCGUAACAAUAAUAAUAUUGUUAUUUACUUGUGUUAUCUAUUAAAACAAAACAAAUCCAAAAUACUGAUGAAUGGCAGGAUUCGCAUUCAGUUUGGGGCAUUCGUUUUUUGUAUAAAAUAUUGUUGAGUGAACAAGUACCAAUUCACACUAAAGUGAUAGGUGGGAGAAAAUGCUAGAGAACAUUGUGUUCCUAUAAUAUACAGCAAGGAUGAUUUUAAACUUUAAGUUUCUUAAGUCCCCAUAUGAAAGCAUUGUAAUUCAUUUACCUCUUUUUGAUGCUACCAGACUUUCUCUACUCUGUAAUAUUCAAUGUUCAUCAGCAUAAUAUACCUUACUAUAUUUAUGCAUAUGUAUCUAUUUAUACCAAACAAUAUAUUUAAGUUACAAUAUUGUUUAAAGUUAACAAAAUAGUUUUAAAACAUAGAUAAUUUUGUUGAAGCAUAUUAUAUGGUAAUACUCAUAGUACUUAUCAAAUUUUGCCUUUAUGAAAAACCAAUACAUAUCACACUUGGAUAAAAAUAUGAAAGUAGAGUAUACAUGAAGGUUAUGUUGCAACUGUAUUCAUUUCUUUAUUUUAUUUUUUCUUUCUUCUCUUUUUUUUAUGCAUAUCCUUAUAUACUGGUACUUUGUUUCUGUAGGAGAUAUUCUUAAAAGUAGGAUUACUGGGUCAAAGAAUAUGUACAUCUAACAAUAAAAUAAACAUCCAUGAACCCAUGACUUCACACAGAUUGAAACAUUUCUAAUCUAGAAGCUGCUGGAGGUUGCUCUCUGCUCCAUUCCCCCUAGCCUCUCCAUAAAGGUGACCAUCAUCUGAAGGUUAUGUUCACAAAUUUCUUGCUUUUCUUUAUAGUCUACAGAAAGAUAGACAGAGACUUACCUAAACAAUAUAUCUUGUUAUCUUUAUUUUUAAGCUUUAUAAAAAUGAGUAUUAUGAUGAAAUAAUAUUUACUUUGAAGCAAAUUUUGAUGACUAAAAAGUUCUCAAUAAACACUUAAAUCAAAUUGCUGGUAUUAUUUGCAUAGUUUACAAAAAUGUUACUCUAUAAAAUAUCUAGAUAACGUUGUGUUAAUAAAUAUCAAUAGCUCUUUGAUUUAAAAGUGAUGAAAGACAACCUAAUUAUAAUUGUUUUUCAUAUAUCCACAUUUUCUUUCAGUGGUAUGAAACUGUCUGGAUAUUUAAAAAUAGGUUACUUUGGCAAGAGAAAACUUGCUGAACUCUGGAAAGUACAAAGUAGACACAAUGGAAGGUUUCUGAACCUGGAGAAGAAAAGAUAAUUUUCUAUAAAUGAUUUUUUUCACAUCUGUGUUUCUUAUAUUCACAUGUAGAUAUCUCAAUUGCUGUAUUACCGAUUUGCUUCACUAGAUGGAGAUAUGAGGCAUAAUAAUUACAGAUGCCUUCAAAAAGGAAAAAUAACAACUUGAGAAAAUAAUUAUUUGUAGAGGAGAAACUAUUGCUUGUAAGAUGUCAUCUUAAAGGAUAUGAUCUUCCAUGUAGUGAAUUGUUCGCUCCAGGGAGAAACAUUUGCUGGAGAUUGAUAAUGAGUACUUUAUUAGUGAAUAAUAAUUCAUUAGUGAACUGAGUGGACUCCUUCUUUUAUUCACUCACUCAUUUGUUCAUUUUUUCAUUCAGUGACUAAGCAUUUUUCACGCCUAGUGUGCCCAACAUGGCCAGGCACUGGGGAUAUGGAAAUAGGAACACAAUCCCAGCCCUCAAGGAGCUCACAGCCUCAGUCAAGUAGGGGAGAUAAGUACAUAAAUGAUCAAUUAGAAUACAUUUGGGGAAGAACUAUCGAACGGAUUCACAUGAGGUUCAGUGAUGGCAUCAAGAAAGAAAUGACUAGCUCUUAUUGAGUAGGAAAAGAUGCCUGGGAUGAGUUUUAAGGGAUGAGCAAUUCAAGGAUGGGAAGAAAACUAUACCAAUAGUCCAGACAAAACUUGGUAAAGACCUGAACCAAGUGAGUACCUCUGGGAUAGAAAGGAGGAGAUAAAUGUACAAGAUAUGGAGGAGGCAGAAUAGGUUAACUAAAUGACUAAAUGAUUGCAGGGAUCAGAGAGUAGGAAGAAAUUUCCUAGAUAGUUUAAGGUAAGUGCUGUGGAGGUCAGGAUAAAAAUUCAACAUGACAAUGAGAAACUGAAAACAAUUUUAAUAAAGCACCGCUACUCAUAUCUUAAAUUGUAGACUGCCUCCCCACCCUUUCCCUCUUCUUGAGAUCUCACCCCAUUCUCUGUUUGCUCUGGCGUGUGAACUUGUUCUUCCUGCCAAAUGAGUCAGUCUCAGUUAGAUUUGUGCUGACAUGUAUUAAAUUUCCUGUAAAAGUAAGAAACUAGUAUGUCAUCCCUUUCUCUCCCUCUCCUUUUCCCUCUCCCUCUCUUUCCUUCUCUCGUCUUCUCUCUCUCUCACACACGCAUGCCACACACAUGCACAUACAGGGAAAAGCAUAUACAAAAAAGUAUAGUGUCAUUUGUAGAAAACUACAAAUAAAAAGAUGUGGAAUGACUAUUCAUACAGCAGAAAAAGAACCUUACACUCACAACGAACUCUAAGAAACUGCGGUUUUUACUCUUAAGUGUUCUUAAAUCCUGGAAUGGAAUAUGGGUCUUACUGCAAGUAUCUAAAUCAUGAUACAUACUCAUCUAUUUGCAAUAGUUUUCUAAGCGGAUUUUUAAGUUCUAUUGUUUUAUGCAAAAGAUUAGAGAUCUAGAAUUUUAAAGUUUCUGUUUUUGGUCUUCCUUUUAAUUUCCACUGUGAAUUUAGCUAUGUUUUCAUUUAACACCCAUAUGUUGAAUUUUAUCUGUCCCUAACACAGAGAGUAUAUUAAUAUGUCCUCAGUGAGUGUGUGAGACUCAGCAAGAAGAAGACUUGCCAUGACCCCACAAAUCAGCCCAGACAGCCCCGGAGUCAGCUUGAGAGAGUAAGAGAGAGCGAAGAGAAUCUGAAGUCACAGAGAGCACCUUCCGAACAGCAAUCGAAUAGAGUGGACAGAAGAGCUUUGGGAGUAACCACAAGGCAACAUCGGACGAUUAGAACGAACUUGGCAAGUACAAACUCCAUUGACCUUUAUAAUAUAUUUCUGAGAAAAUUUACAAAGAGUUCAAGUCAAAAUCGUUUCAAAUGUAACACAAGCUGGUGGAAGGAGCAUACGAGGUUUAUAUCAAAAUGUCUUGGGCCAGCCCGGUGGCAUAGUGGUUAAGUUUGCUCUGUUUUGACAGCCCAAGUUCGCGGGUUAGGAUCCUGGGUGUGGACCUACACCAUUCAUCAAGCCAUGCUGUGGUGGCAACCCACAUACAAAAUAGAGGAAGAUGAGCAUAGAUGUUAGCUCAGGGCCACUAUUCCUCAAGCAAAAAGAGCAAGAUGGACAACAGGUCUUAGCCCAGGGCCAAUCUUCCUCACUAAAAAAAAAAAAGUUUUGAUUUAUAGUGAUUGAUUCUAGGGCUGGAGUAAGAGAAAUCUAAUUGAGCCUGGAAAAUCUUGUGUCAGAAAAUAAGGAAAUACUCAAAACAAUAACACCUCACAAUGAUGAGGCAUGACAAAAGAAUACAAGAUCCAACUUACAAGAGAUCCCAAUGGCCAAAGUUGAAACAAUUUCAGCAAAAAAAUAAAUAAUGAUAGCCUUCGGUUAUAAUCCAUAACAGAAAAUAAAAAUCCAUCAGUCUAUACAUAUUGAUAUAAAUACAUUACAAAGUUUCCACCACGUAAGUAUCACAAUAUUAAUUGUUGCAGGCAAGAUCCAGUAAUACUGAAAUCCAUGGGUGAACGUUUGAGGGAAAACAGAUAUUAGCAGAGUCCCCAUGUAUCUCCUGCAAGAUAUUUAUCAAUUACAAAGGAAAAAUAGUAAAAUGACAGUGGAGAAACCCGGCGGACAUGAUCUCAACCAAGAGAUCAAGGUUCACUUCACCAGUAAUAAGACAGAUCAACAUGUGUAUUUCCUGAUAAAAUGCACUGAGAAAGACACUUCACCUCUGUGGUAUUUGUGCCAAAAAUACACAACUUCAAUCUAAUCUGGGAAAACGUUAGACAAAUCCCAGUUGAGGGGCAUUCUACGAAAUACCUGAGAAGUACUGUUCAAAAGUGUCAAGGUCAUGAAAGACAAAGACUGAGGAACUCUCCCAGAUUAGAAGCUAAGGAGACCUAACAACUAAGUGCAAUGUGAGUUUGUGGACUCGAUCCUAGAAUGACAGUGUAGUCUAGUAUAGACAGUGUAGACAGUCUAGUGUCUUUUUGACAUUAGAGGGAAAACUGAUGAAAUUCAAAUAGGGUCUGUAAUUUAAGUAAUAGUAUUGUACCACUGUUAAUUUUCCGGUUUUGAUAAUUGAACUGUGGUUGUGUAAUUGUUAACAUUAGGGGAAGCUGGAUGAAGGGUCUACCUGAGCUCUAUGUGC